GCAAGAUACAACAAAUUUGACAAAAAAAAAAUCAAUAUUAAGGAGUUUAGAGUAGUUAUUCACUUCUUUCUGAGAAACAGUUUAAAAUCCUAAGUACUCUCCUUUAGUUAAUUUCUCACCUUAUUACAAAGUGAAAACAGUAAAAAAUAUUAUAUGAUAAAAGAUUUGAGUGAUGUGAGAUGAGAUCUGCACUUACAGCCAGAAUUAGAAAGGACACAUGAUUUUAUACCUUGACAAUUAAAUUCUUUUCUACUCAUAAUUUAUAAGGGUUCAUGAUGACAGUUCCUCAAAUUUCAGUUAAUAACAGCUAUUAGUUAUAUGAUGACCAGAAUCUGAAAUCAACAUAGGGAGUCUAUAGACUAUAAUAUCAUCAUGAACCCUACCAAAUUUGAUA
Molecule: unclassified non-coding RNA, 394 nt
Filed under: Hevea brasiliensis (rubber tree)
Lineage: Eukaryota; Viridiplantae; Streptophyta; Magnoliopsida; Malpighiales; Euphorbiaceae
Source: RNAcentral